This 73-nucleotide transfer RNA is filed under the name Pteropus alecto (black flying fox). It matches the Rfam family "tRNA". From Rfam's summary of the family: Transfer RNA (tRNA) molecules are approximately 80 nucleotides in length. Their secondary structure includes four short double-helical elements and three loops (D, anti-codon, and T loops). Lineage: Eukaryota; Metazoa; Chordata; Mammalia; Chiroptera; Pteropodidae. The record is from Rfam by way of RNAcentral.
GGCUCCAUAGUGUAGUGGUUGUACAUCUGCUUUACACACAGAAGGUCCUGGGUUUGUACCCCAGGUGGAGCCA